RNAcentral lists this ribosomal RNA (491 nucleotides) under uncultured bacterium. Its description in RNAcentral is "bacterial SSU rRNA". It matches the Rfam family "Bacterial small subunit ribosomal RNA", at positions 40 to 507 of the family's 1533-position model. The record is from RNAcentral.
CGGCGUGCCUAACACAUGCAAGUCGUACGAGAAAGUUGGCUUCGGCCGAUGAGUACAGUGGCGCACGGGUGAGUAACGCGUGGAUAAUCUGCCCUUAAGUGUGGAAUAACGUACCGAAAGGUGCGCUAAUACCGCAUAAUGCCUGGCAACAUAAGUUGUCCGGCCAAAGAAGGCCUCUGCCUGCAAGCUUUCGCUAAAGGAUGAGUCCGCGUACCAUUAGCUAGUUGGUGGGGUAACGGCCUACCAAGGCGACGAUGGUUAGCUGGUCUGAGAGGAUGAUCAGCCACACUGGAACUGAGACACGGUCCAGACUCCUACGGGAGGCAGCAGUGAGGAAUAUUGCGCAAUGGGGGCAACCCUGACGCAGCAACGCCGCGUGAGUGAGGAAGGUUUUCGGACUGUAAAGCUCUGUCGAGCGGGAAGAAGUGUACCAUGGCUAAUAUCCAUGAUAUUUGACGGUACCGCUAGAGGAAGCACCGGCUAACUCCGUG